GGAAGCCAUUAUCCUCAGUAUAUUAACACAGGAACAGAAAAUCAAACACCGCAUAUUCUUACUUAUUAGUGGGAGCUAAAUGAUGAGAACACAUGGACACAUGCGGGGGAACAACACACAAUGGGAACUAACCGAGGGUUGGGGGUGACAGGAGGGAGAGGAGCAGAAAAAACAACUAAUGAAUACUAGGUUUGGUACCUGGGUCACCAAAUAAUCUAUACAAAAACCCUCAUGACACGAGUUUACCUGUGUAACAAAUCUGUAUAUAUACCCCUGAACCUAAAAUAAAACUUAAAAAAAAAAAACCCUGGCCUAUCUAGCUCAGAGAGGCUCUUGGUUUGAAAGAGACAAUGGGUGGUGUGCAAACUGAAGGUCACAUUGACCUUCUAGGCUGAGAUGUUCACAGUUUCCAGUUCUUUAGGAGCUGGCCUGGGCAAUAUAGUUUGAUAUAACAAACAAUAAACUAAUUGACGCCUGGAUGUUAAUGGCCAAAAAGUGCAAGUGUUAUCCCAUUUACAUGGCAUGUAAACACGGUAACAUAUAUGACUCUCCAAUCUCUUCAUGUAUAUCCAGUGCUAAGGAGGAAAUUAUUGCAGGUUCAGGGUUUCAGUCUGACCUCUAGAGGCAACACGUUAAGGGAAAAGAGGCUUUUGAACACUCAAGCCAUGGUUUUGACUAUUGUCCUCUUGGCCAUGCUCAAAGGUAUACAUACAAAAUCUUGUAUAAUCUGGGCAGGGCCCAAGAUGGUACCAGAGGCCGCCAUCACCAUUACAUGACUCAUUAUUUUGUAACUCUUGCCUCAUCCAAACUUUGUUUUUCUCUCGGUUCAAUUUCUCUUUCAAAUGACCUGAUUACAAAUUGCAAAGGCCAGGCAGACCUGGGCAACCCCAAACAGAAGUCUCACCAUCUGCUUUGGCAACUUCCUCCAUGACUAACUGUGGAAGCAGAAAUACAGACUCACAGACUCUCGGAGUAGACAGGAUCUCAGAGUUCGGCGGGCCUCACCUCCCCUCGAUAUCACUGGUACAUCAACACAACGAUUGGCUUAUUGAACCCCCACUGAGUGCCAGAGGUCAUGGUGGGUGCUGCAGAGGAUAGGACGACACUGAACAAGGCUCUGCCACUGACCUCACAGUGGGGACACAGGUGAGUGAGCAAGUGAAUGGGAUAUCUUAUACACAUAGCAUAUAUAGGUAAACACUCAGGGGCUCAUGGCAGGGAACAUCACCCAGGGUUAAGGGGCGGUCAGAAAGGUGUCUUGGCAGAAGUUGAGUCUUUCCAAACCCACUUCUCUUUCUUAAUAUAUAAUUGACAAAAAAAAUUCAUACAUAGUAAUAUGUACAAAUUGUUUUAUGUAUACAUUAUGAAUGCCUCGAUGAUUAAGCUAAUCAGCAACCUCACAGAAUUGCCAUUUUCUUUUGAGAAGUGGAUUCUUAAAGGGAGAAAAGGAGUGAGCUGGAAAAAGUUUCAUAGGUGGAAGGGUGACGUUCCAGGAAGAGUUUACAGUAUGUACAAGGGACAUGGGCCAGAAAGGAAGAGAGAUGGGAAGAAGGAGGGGAGAGACAGAGAGGGCUGAGACCAGCACCAGGACCAGGAAAGGAAGCUGAGCUCUUUGCAUAUUUAGGGAACUGCCAGGAGUCCCCAGGCUGGAUUGUGAAGUUCAAGGCCAGGAACAGAGGGAGCUAAGGCCGGAGCAGUAGGAUGGUCCAGUUCGGGAGGGGCUUCACGGAGUUGGGACUUCAUCCUGAUGGGGUUCAGGACAUACUGCCCCCCAAAAUAGAACGUUGGCAUUUGAGAAAACAGCAAAAGCAGGAAGGUCACUCUCACCUUCCUUUGUUCCACCCUUCUCUCUGAAGCAGGUCAUCAGUCCCAGGAAGGAUUUCCUGACCUUCCCUUGAGGUAGGACGUUGGACCCUGGUGUGAGUGAUGCCUGCAUACUCAGAGGAAAGGAACAUCCUUAUUUCUGAAGACACAAGGACACAGAGGAGAAUCUGAUCCAACAAACCUGGUGACAUUCCCUCCAGGUUAUCACCCGCUUUGCUGGGCCACGCCUCUCUAUGACUGUGCGCUCUUCCUCCAACCUAGCAUAGCAAACACACAGGCUUCCCUGUUUCUCUGGUUCUUCAUUUCCUCUCAAAGGUUCCUGUGUCAUGUAAAACUCACAUUUCAUGCGUUUGUACGUUCUUCUCUUGUUCAUCUGUCUUUCAUUAUGGGGGCCUCAGCCAUGAAUCCAGUGGUGGGUGAAGAUACCCUGCCUGCCCUGCAGUCCCAAAAGCAACAAGGGACCCCUGAGGGUUGUGAGCAGCAUGGUCACUCGGGAACGCCAGGUGGCUGCUGAGGUUUCUCCGGUGGCCCAUGGGUGCCAGCUUCUUCCACUGUAAGGUGGGUCAAGUGGCUCGCACAUGUGCGUUCAAGCAGGGCCCAGAGCUGCCUCCACACGGACACAGGCGGGGGCCCUUUCCGGCCUCCCCGCUUUUCCACAGGCCACGUUCCUGAACUCUGAACACUCUCUGAGCCUACCCCGCCCCAAGUUUUCUUUAAUUCAGGGUUAACAUGUCUAAUCCCUUCUCCAGUUCUCUAGAAAAGUGAGUUCUUUACACCACAGGCGUUCCUUCAGCCUCUGGAUACAGAUGGAGCAUACAUGUCCUCGUGGGCAGUGUAGAUGUUAAGCCUCAAGUAUAAUCACUUGGUUUCUUUAUACAGCUUCUUUCUCUGAAGCUAGGAAUAUCCUGAUUUAGAUACCCUAAUGUCCACCAGCAACACGGCACCACAGUAAGGAAGGAUCCUGCCAGUCAGAAAGACCAGAGUUUAAAUUUUGGCUCAAUUAUGUAAUGUUUGUGUGACUCCAAGCAAGUGACGGAGCCUCUCUGAGCUUCUGUUUCUUCAUCUGUAUAAGGCCAACAAUAUCUAGCUUUAUGAGCUGUGAUGAUCUCAGUUAAUAUAGAUAGCAUCCUUGUACACAGUAGCACCAGAGCUCCAAUGCCUAUUCAAAACUAGAGACCAUGGUAAUAGCAAUAGUGAUCUCACUCUUCUACUUAUAGGUGUAUAAUCUGGGUCUCAUGAUUUAAUCAGAACCUCAGUCUCUCCAUCUAUUAAAAGAGAAUAAUAGCAACUGUUUGGCAGAGUUAUUUGAGAAUUCAACAGGAUAAAGGCACAUACGGCACACAGCAGGCUCUUUAAGUAGGCGUGUGUCCUUGCCUGUCGCCCUCCAGUGGAUUCUCCUGUCCCCUUGAGCCAUCACCUUUGUUGCUAGGCUUUUGUCUCUAUCUCCAGAUGUUCCCAUUGGGGUCCCAGGUUCCUUCUGGGUGAACAUCCUCUGAGAACAUCAGGAUCUCCUUUUCAGUUGACCGCGAUCAGAGGUAUUUUUCUGUGCCUGUUUUUCCUCUUGCCUGGCUAUCUCCUCUCCCCAUGAAAGGGUAUGUGGAAGUCCUACCUCCCUGCACCUGUGAAUGUGACUUUAUUUGAAAAUUUGGACUUUAUUUGGAAUGAUGCUUUCCCCAACUAUAUCACAUGAUUACAUCAAAGAUCAUGUUAAGUAUAGGUGAGUAUGUAUAUGCAUAUACACACAAAAAAUUUAUACACAUAUAUAAAAUCAUGAAGCCUUUUUAAAAAUAGGGACUGUUAAUUAUGCAUAAAACAUCUCCAUUCGUGCACACGAGUAUUAUUCUCUCAUAAUAGAUGGAGAAACUGAGGCUCUGAUUAAAUAAUGAGAAAUCUUUGCAGAUUUCAUCAAGUUAAGAUGAGGUCAUGAAGGUGGGCCCUGAUACAAUAUGACUGCUGUUUUUGUAAGAGGGAAAGAGAACGGUGUGUGAAAGAGACACAGAGGGAGAGGGUAGCCCUGUGAAGAAGGAGGCAAGGGGGGGCGAGACGCCGCCACAAGCCCAGAAACGCCAGGGGCUGCCGGAAGUUGGAACAGGCAAGGAAGGAUCCUCCCGUGGAAGGUUCAGAAAGAGCGUGGCCCUGCCAGCACCGUGAUUUCAGACUACUGUCCUCCAGAAAAUCUAUGUCUGUCAUCUGAAGCCACCUACUUUUUGGUACUUUGUGACAGCAGCCCUGGGAAGCUGACACAGUGGCCUCCCUACUAGAGUCCCUAGGACCGAAAGGUUUAUUAGUUUGUAAAAUAGACCUUCCUAAAGCCCACCUUUAGCAUGGAAAGCUGGAGACUCAAAUCAGAGAUGUAUUGCAUGAUUAUAUAGAAAAAAAUACAGGUCGGAUGGAUUAGGGGCGGGGUGAUUAAGAAGAAAAGCAAAUUGCUUAAAAAGACCCAAGCCACCGCCUUGCUCAUGGAUAAGAGAAAACCACUCAUAAAAGUCGAAAAGGACUGAAUUGAAUGUCAGGGCAGGAAGAGUGAUGGGGGCCUUAAUUCAACGGUCUCGGCGGGAGCUGGCAUUUUCAUGCUGAUUUUAUCUAAGAUUUUAGCUUGAACAAGGGAUACGGUUUACAGACUAAAAAUUAGCCACAAGGUAUAACUUUACCCCUGGCUUAACAGAAGACUGAAAGAAUAAAGCAAGCAGCUGUGUCAGAACUUGCCAGGCAACAUGAAAUGCUGUGGUUUGAACAAAGCUGAGCUGGGCUGAGAAUGAAUUACAGGAAGAAAGGCAGGAAGAAAAAGAAAGAGCUCCGGGGCUGUUUAUUCUUUGUGUACGGGACGCAUUGAAGAAAGUACUGAGUUCCACAUCACCAACCCAGCUGGAAAACGUGGGGGCAACCGAAGCAGAGGGAACAUGAGUCACCAGCUACUAACUCUCAGGAGCUCCAUAUUUGGGAGCUCGGCAAAGGGCUUGUCGUUUUUUGGAUGGAGUCUCGUGAGUUCUGGGGCUGCCGCUAGCUUCAGCCAAAUGUGGAACCCACAAGGCCAGCCCCCAAAUCACAGGCCUGCUCAGAGUAAGACACUGUACGCAGCUCUGCUGAAGUUUUCCUGUGCUGAAGCAAGCACAGAUGUUUCUCCAGUACCUCCCAUGUGCCAGGAACACAGCAGGGAGCAAAACCAAGUCCAGUACCCACCCACGGAGCCAACACUUCCGAGGAAGAAACAGAUUGUGAGCCAGUCCGUCAGCCUGCACUGCAUCAGGUGGUGUUGAGAACAGGUAACAGGUGACAGAGGGGGCCCCGUGGCCAUUUUGCAUGGCAUGUGAGGGAGGGCUGCCAGGUAAGGUGACCUGUGGCCUAGAGCUGAAUGACGAAGGGGAGGGAGUCUUGCAGGGAUCUCCCAGAAGCUCCUUCCAGGCAGAGGGACUGUCAGUGCAAAUGUCCAGUGUUGGGCAUUUUCUUGGCCUUUUGGGGGAACAUCAAAGAGCCCAUUUAGCUCCUCCCUCCCUGAAGCCUCUGGUAACCCCCGAUCUUUUUACUGGCUCCAUAAUUUUACAUUUUCCAGAAUGUUCUAGUUAGAAUCAUACAAUGUGCAGCUUUUUCGUAGCGGCUUCUUUCACUUAGCAACAUAUUUAGGUACUUUUUUAAUGCAAUUUUUAUUUUACAAAUGUAUAUGUUCUUUUUCAACUCAAAUGUAAGAUUUUUGAGAGUAGUGGGUUGAAGGCUGUAGAUAACAGGUGAGAAAUCAUGAUAGUGCUUUCUUAGAAUAAUUCCACUCUUUGAGAUACAUCUAUGUGCGCUAUGCAUCCCUGUAUCCUCCAACCCUUACCUAAAACUUUAAUUGGAUUAUUACCCCUAGUCUGUGACAUGCAAAUAUUCUAUUUAAAGGCUGAUCCUUUCUUUCUUUUAAGAAAAACUUUAGCGGAUGCAUAGUAGGUAUAUAUAUUUAUGGGUUAUAUGAGAUGUUUUGAUACAGGUAUGCAAUGCAUAAUAAUCACAUCAGGGUAAAUGGGGUCUCCAUCACCUCAAGCAUUUGUCCUCUGUAUUUCAAACAAUCAGUUAUAAUCUUUUAGUUAUUUUUAAAGGUACAAUUAAAUUAUUUUCGACCGUAGUCAUCCUGUCGUGCUAGCAAAUACUAGGUCUUAUUCUUUCUAUGAUUUGUACCCAUUAACCCUCUUCCCCCCUCAACAAUCCCCUCCCUGCAAUGCCCUUUUCAGCCUCUGAUAACCAUCCUUCUACUCUGUCUUUAUGAGCUCAAUUAUUUUAUUUUUUAGCUCCCACAAAUAAGUGAGAACGUGCGAAGUUUGUCCUUCUGUGCCUGGCUUAUUUUACUUAACA
This is a long non-coding RNA of Cebus imitator (Panamanian white-faced capuchin), 6147 nucleotides long. RefSeq lists it as uncharacterized. The record is from RefSeq and is a predicted model, not a curated record. The transcript is spliced from 3 exons. NCBI's taxonomy places the organism in Eukaryota, Metazoa, Chordata, Mammalia, Primates, Cebidae.